GCCGACGUAGCUCAACUGGCAGAGCAUCCGCCUUGUAAGCGGAAGGUUCGGGGUUCGAGUCCCCGCGUCGGCU
RNAcentral lists this transfer RNA (73 nucleotides) under Actinomycetota bacterium. RNAcentral's name for it is "tRNA-Thr". It matches the Rfam family "tRNA". Rfam says of the family: Transfer RNA (tRNA) molecules are approximately 80 nucleotides in length. Their secondary structure includes four short double-helical elements and three loops (D, anti-codon, and T loops). Further hydrogen bonds mediate the characteristic L-shaped molecular structure. tRNAs have two regions of fundamental functional importance: the anti-codon, which is responsible for specific mRNA codon recognition, and the 3' end, to which the tRNAs corresponding amino acid is attached (by aminoacyl-tRNA synthetases). tRNAs cope with the degeneracy of the genetic code in two manners: having more than one tRNA (with a specific anti-codon) for a particular amino acid; and 'wobble' base-pairing, i.e. permitting non-standard base-pairing at the 3rd anti-codon position. The record is from RNAcentral. Lineage: Bacteria; Bacillati; Actinomycetota.